GACGAACGCUGGCGGCGCGCUUAACACAUGCAAGUCGAACGGAAAGGCCUGCUUUCCCUUGUGGAUUGCGGGUACUCGAGUGGCGAACGGGUGAGUAACACGUGAGUGAUCUGCCCCCAACUUGGGUAUAAGCCUGGGAAACUGGGACUAAUUCCCGAUAGGACUGCAGGGUGGUGCCUGUGGUGGAAAACGAUUUUCUAGUGGUUGGGGAUGAGCUCGCGGCCUAUCAGCUUGUUGGUGGGGUAAUGGCCUACCAAGGCGGCGACGGGUAGCCGGCCUGAGAGGGUGGACGGCCACAUUGGGACUGAGAUACGGCCCAGACUCCUACGGGAGGCAGCAGUGGGGAAUAUUGCACAAUGGGCGGAAGCCUGAUGCAGCGACGCCGCGUGGGGGAUGACGGCCUUCGGGUUGUAAACUCCUUUCGACCGCGAGGAAGCCACCUGGUUGGAAGGGUGGUGACGGUAGUGGUAGAAGAAGCACCGGCUAACUACGUG
Molecule: ribosomal RNA, 494 nt
Filed under: uncultured bacterium
Lineage: Bacteria
Description: partial 16S ribosomal RNA
Rfam family: Bacterial small subunit ribosomal RNA
Source: RNAcentral